GGGGGUGUAAAGGUUUCGACGUGGGUUUGGAACUUGAGGCUGCGUGUCGUGUUACUCCUCUAGAUCACGUAAAACCUGGGGAAUUAAAAUAAACGCAAACGAAAAUUACGCUUUAGCAGCUUAAUAAUUGCUGCUUGUCCCUCUUAGCCCUCCUGCCGGUUAAGACUGGACAUCAUUUAUGCAGGGAACUACUUCUUGGGCGCCUCGACCUGAAGUGGACUAAUUGAGGCUGGCUGAUGAUGUAGUCUGCCACUGGACGACAUCAAAGGCGAGAUACUAAUACAGAUGGCUACGCACGUAGAUGCAGCGAGGAAUGGGCUUGCGGACAGGGGUUCGACUCCCCUCACUUCCACCA
The sequence is a non-coding RNA, 355 nucleotides long. It matches the Rfam family "transfer-messenger RNA". From Rfam's summary of the family: Bacterial tmRNA, also known as 10Sa RNA or SsrA, is named for its dual tRNA and mRNA-like properties. The record is from Rfam.